Molecule: transfer RNA, 74 nt
Filed under: bacterium
Lineage: Bacteria
Description: tRNA-Gln
Rfam family: tRNA
About the family: Transfer RNA (tRNA) molecules are approximately 80 nucleotides in length. Their secondary structure includes four short double-helical elements and three loops (D, anti-codon, and T loops).
Source: RNAcentral
UGCCCGGUCGUCUAACGGUAGGACAAUAGACUCUGAAUCUAUUUAUCCUCGUUCAAAUCGAGGCUGGGCAGCCA